UACGUAGGGUGCAAGCGUUAAUCGGAAUUACUGGGCGUAAAGCGUGCGCAGGCGGUUUGGUAAGACAGAUGUGAAAUCCCCGGGCUUAACCUGGGAACUGCGUUUGAAACUACAAGGCUAGAGUGUGGCAGAGGGGGGUGGAAUUCCACGUGUAGCAGUGAAAUGCGUAGAUAUCAGGAGGAACACCUGUGGUGUAGACGGCUUUCUGGACCAUAGCUGACGCUGAGACACGAAAGCGUGGGUAGCAAACAGG
RNAcentral lists this ribosomal RNA (253 nucleotides) under uncultured bacterium. Its description in RNAcentral is "partial 16S ribosomal RNA". It matches the Rfam family "Bacterial small subunit ribosomal RNA", at positions 524 to 776 of the family's 1533-position model. The record is from RNAcentral.